Long non-coding RNA from Python bivittatus (Burmese python), 1692 nucleotides. RefSeq lists it as uncharacterized. The record is from RefSeq and is a predicted model, not a curated record. Lineage: Eukaryota; Metazoa; Chordata; Lepidosauria; Squamata; Pythonidae.
GCCCCCUUUCCAUCAGCUCCCUCCUUCCUCAGCUCAUGGCAAGAUUUCCUAUUGGACGUUGCAAUGAUUGUGUUCCGGGCGAGGAGCUGAAGAUGUGGGUGGAGAACCUUUGAAAGAAACGACCUCGAAAGUCGAUUAAAAUACUUGUGGCAGUAAGAACGGAUACAGAAGGUAACCGGUUACCUCAAUCGCAGUACUCGUCAUAAGUGAAAAUUAUGAAAAAAUAAUUGUGCUGCCCCCCGCCCCCGGCAAUCGCCAGGAGUCGAUACUGACUCAAAGGCACACCAAAAAAACAAACAAACACGCACGUAACAAAAAAUAACACGUGAGCGGCGCGUGCUAGGCCUACGAACUGCAAUCCAUCGCGUUGCGUAUGGCAGCUUUCCAACUAUUGGCAGAAUUCCUGCGGGUGACCUUGCUCCGCCCCAACAGCAGCCUCAGGGCCAGUCUGAUCCGUAAGAUUUAUGUCCACCCUCCCGUAAGGAAAAGUAGCUCGGCUGCUCAUCUCUUCCAUACACCGGAACAAAGGCCCCACCUGGAAUACCGUGUCCAAUUCUGUCAAAAAGAACAAUGAAAAACUGGAAGAAAUUCAGAACGGGCUACCAAAAUGGUGAAGGGACUGGAAUCAACUCCUGUGAGAAACUUAAACAAAAUGGGUUGAACAACAAGGUGACUUGCAAACAGUAAAUGCCUACCGAUGUCCUGUCUUAGGCAGCUAUUGACAAAGGAAGAAGAGUCAUGAGAUGGUGAGAUUCUUCCCUGUGUGCUCCCUUUUUCCACCACGACAAUGGCCAACUCAUUAAAAUUGCAACAUGUCUCAUUUUAGAAAUUAGAACAAAAGCCAUGAUCAUCACUUAGUCUUUGAAUCUGAACAGUUUUAUAGCAGGAAAAAUAACGUCACCACUGCUUUAUCUUUCUGCUUCCAAAUCUGUUCUUGACACAGCCUUCAAUAACAGUGGCUCUUUACCCAGCUGGACCAUCUGCAUGAAUCAGUUGCAUAUGAUAAAUUGGAUAAUAUGGGCCAGCUCACUGUCCCAGAACUAUAGUUGAGGAAAUACCAGGAAUUUCUGCCAACAGCGUGUCUGUUUUUUGGUAAGAGAGUUGGCUGUGCUUACAACAUGAUUCAGUUGGCCAUGUAGAAUGGACAAAAGUGAUUUUUAUUUGUUUUGCACUCAAACUUUUUGUUACAAUUUUCUGAGCCACCUAGAUGAUAGUGAAAACAGUAAUAUCAGAUGGUAGGGGCAAAAUUUUGUCUCUGAUAGAUAUAUAUGAAUGCAUGGUUCUUGUUUUUCACCAUACUCCUAUUGCUGUCGGUCCACAUAGAUUUUUUUCAGCCAUCUUUGAACUCUCUUUGCAUUGGUAAGAUAUUUGACAGUGUAUAAAUUGAAAUUUAUAUAGAGACAUUUGAACAAAAUUUAUUCAUCCGAUGAUUAAUAGGUAUCCAGGCCGCUCUGAUACCGACUAUCUAUAGAUCCUGCUUAAAGACGAACAGACUACAGUCACAGUGCAGGUAGCUAGAUUCUGUCCAGCAGCAUUAAAGAUUCAUCGGAAUCUGACAAAUAUCUCGUUGUAGAUAGUUUUAUAUAACCAACACACUUCAAUUUUAGAUAUUAUCAUUUUAUCAUCACCUUUAUUAUAGUUAACGAUCAAAAAUUGUAGGAUAUCAUAAUUUAAUUUAAGGAGUAAUAAUUA